AGCGUCCUCCCAGCCCCGCCCGCGUCGGCCUCGGUGCCCCGGGAUCGCAUGGUGUUGCCCAGGUUGAAUUUGCAAUCCUCCUGCGUCAGCCUCCCAAGAAACUGGAGUAACAGGUGUAUGCCACCAGGUCCAGCUUGCCUUAACCGUUCCUGAGUGCACCAUUCAGGGCACAAAGCACCGUCUGUCCGAAGAACUUCACCUUGUCCAGCUGCACCUGCGGGUCCAGCUCCAGGCAGCCUGUCUGCUCUGUCCACCUGCCCGGUACCUACUCCACACCUUCUGGACCCGUGUACCUCACAAGAAGUCUUCAAGUCAGGUGCUGUUGGCCCUCCAACUCUGUUCUGUUCCUCUUUCUUUCUUUCUUUCUUUCUUUGUAAGUUGAUUUGGUUAUUUAAACCCUUUGCAUUUGGGGUUGAAUAUUCAAAUCAGGUUUUUAAUUUCUACCUCAAAUACAAAUCCUCUGUGAUUUGUAUUGGUAUUGCAUUAAAAUUAAAGAUGACUUUGGGGAGAAUUUAGUGUUCUGACCCAUGAAUGGGGCUCUCUCUCCACUUAUUGAGGUCUUUGAUUACCCUCAGAAAUUUUUAAUAAGGCCUCUACAUAUUUUGUCAAGUUUAUCUCUAAGUAUAUCUGAUGUUGGAAGUGAUGUUCUUAGAUUUCAAUUUCCAGUCAUUUGUUGCUAGUGUAUAGAAACGCAAUUGGUUUUUAUGUGUCAACCCUUGUAUUUUGUAGUUUUUGUAGGUAUUUUGAAUAUGCCAUAGGAUUUUCAGCGAGGAUAAUUAUGUCACCUACAAAUUAGGAGUUUUAUUUCGUCAGAUCAUUUGUUACCAAGUGGAAGGGAAGUGGGCAGAGUGGACAUCGCUGUCUUGUCCCAGUAUCAGGACCACGCUUCAGCCUUUCAUUGUUGAGUGCUGUGUUACCUGAAGCCUGGGCAUGUGCCCUUCAGCAAAUUACAGAAGUUCCCUUCUUGGACAGUUCAUUGAAAAUUUUGAUCAGGAAAGAAUGUUAAAUUUUGUAAAUGCUUUUUCUGGAGCUAUUAAGAUCUUGUGGGUUGUCCAUUUUGGACUAUUAGUGGUGAACUGUACUACCUAACAUUUCUAUUUUUUUUUUUUUGGUACCAGGUAUCAAACUCCAGACCUUGGGCUUGUGAGGCAGGUGGUGGAACCACUGAGCUAAAUCCUGGGCCCUAACAUUUCUAAUUUUUUUUGUUUUGUUUUUUUGGUACGAGGGAUUGAAUUCAGGACCUUGCGCUUGCAAGGCAGGCUCCGGAACCACUGAGUUAAAUCCCUGGCCCAACAUUUCUAAUGUUAAACCAGCCAUCGUUCCUGGGAUAAACCCAUCAUGGUUUAGUAUCUUUUGGAUGCCUUUUUUUGGGCUCAGUUUGCCUGUUUUUGUUAAGAAUUUCUGCAUCUAUCCAAGUAUAGUGGUGCACAGGAAGAUCACAAGUUUGAGGCCAGCCUGAGCAACUUAACCAUCCCAUGUCUCAAAG
RNAcentral lists this long non-coding RNA (1486 nucleotides) under Heterocephalus glaber (naked mole-rat). RNAcentral describes it as "lncRNA (ENSHGLG00100043853.1)". The record is from RNAcentral. Lineage: Eukaryota; Metazoa; Chordata; Mammalia; Rodentia; Bathyergidae.